UACGAAGGGGGCUAGCGCUGUUCGGAAUUACUGGGCGUAAAGCGCGCGCAGGCGGUCUUCCAAGUCAGUGGUGAAAGCCUGGAGCUCAACUCCAGAACUGCCAUUGAAACUGUUAGACUUGAGUACGAGAGAGGUGAGUGGAAUUCCCAGUGUAGAGGUGAAAUUCGUAGAUAUUGGGAAGAACACCGGUGGCGAAGGCGGCUCUCUGGACCGAUACUGACGCUGAGGCGCGAAAGCGUGGGGAGCAAACAGG
Molecule: ribosomal RNA, 253 nt
Filed under: uncultured bacterium
Lineage: Bacteria
Description: partial 16S ribosomal RNA
Rfam family: Bacterial small subunit ribosomal RNA
Source: RNAcentral